CCUAGAGUUGUAGCUUUGCCUGCUAUCUCUUACCCAUGUCUUUUGAGUACCUUCGUUUCCUCGGCGGGUCCGCCCGCCGAUUGGACAAUUUAAACCAUUUGCAGUUGCAAUCAGCGUCUGAAAAACUUAAUAGUUA
This 136-nucleotide unclassified non-coding RNA is filed under the name soil metagenome. Its description in RNAcentral is "partial internal transcribed spacer 1". The record is from RNAcentral.